RNAcentral lists this ribosomal RNA (3454 nucleotides) under Candidatus Roizmanbacteria bacterium RIFCSPHIGHO2_12_FULL_37_9b. RNAcentral's name for it is "23S ribosomal RNA". It matches the Rfam family "Bacterial large subunit ribosomal RNA". Lineage: Bacteria; Candidatus Roizmaniibacteriota. The record is from RNAcentral.
AGCUAAUGGUGGAUGCCUUGGCAGUUUGAGCCGAAGAAGGACGCGUGAAUGAGCGCGAAAACAACGGUGAGCCCUCUAUCAGGCAUUAUCAACCGUUGAUUUCCGAAUGGAGUAAUCCCACCCUGCGCAAGCAGGGUGAUCGGGUACCGUCUGGUACCUGAAGGUAACCUGGUGAACUGAAACAUCUAAUUAACCAGAGGAAAAGAAAACAAUUUAUUUCUUCGAGCAAUCGAAGGAUGUGAUUUCGUCAGUAGCGGCGAGCGAAAGCGAAAUAGCCUAAACCCCGCCUUUGGCGGGGGGUUGUGGGACCACAGUAGGGAGUGAGUUUUGAUAGCAGAAUGUUUUGGAAAAGACAGCUAAAGAGAGUGAAAGCCUCGUAUGCUAAAUCGAAACUUACCCUGGUGGAUAUCCCAAGUACCACGAGCCACGGAAAAUCUUGUGGGAAGCUGGGUCGGUCACGAUCCAAGGCUAAAUACUCAAACUGACCGAUAGUGAACAAGUACCGUGAGGGAAAGGUGAAAAGUCCCCCGAAAGGGGAGUGAAAUAGAACCUGAAAUCAUUAGCUAACAAACAGCAAGAGCAUCUCGUUUUCACUCGAUGCUCAAACUCAAAAGUUAAAACUCAAACCUCAAAACUAAAAUUGUAUUAAUACAAUCUAAAUUUUUGACAUUUGACAUUUGAGAUUUGACAUUGAACACCGAGCGAAGGCGAGGUGUGAUUGCGUGCCUAUUGAAGAAUGAGCCAGCGAGUGGCCUCACCUUUCGUCAACUUAACCAGUUCUACUGGGUAGGUAUAGCGAAAGCAAGUCCUAAUAGGGCGAUUUAGAAAGGUGAGACCGACCCGAAACUGGGUGAGCUAACCAUGAACAGGGUGAAUCCCGAUCAAAAUCGGGAAGAGGCCCGUACCCGUUGUCGGUGAAAUGACAUGGGACGAUUUGUGGUUAGGGGUAAUAUGCCUAUCGAACCCAGAGAUAGCUGGUUCUCCCCGAAAUAUAUUUAGGUAUAGCGGCGUAAAAAAUUUUACAGGGAUAGAGCGACUAGAUGGUUGUGAGAGCGUAAGCGAUUACGAUCAACUAAACUCCGAAUACUGUAAAAAAUUUAGACGCCAGUCAGUCUCGCCGGGAUAAGCCGGUGCAGGCGAAAGGGAAACAUCCCAGAUUCCCGUCUAAGGUUCCUAAAUGACUUUUAAGUGGAAAAGGCCGUUGGAUGUCCAACACAGUUGGGAGGUUGGCUCAGAAGCAGCCAUCCUUUAAAGAGUGCGUAACAGCUCACCUAAAUAGCCCUCCGAUUCGGAGGGAGGAUGUCCGGCGCCAAAAAUGAUCGGAGCUAAAAGUCUGCCGAAGACGGAAACUUGUGCUAAGCACAAGAAAUUCCAAUUAUCAAUUCACAAGAAACAAAUAAAUUUCAAAUUAUAAAUUCAAAAAUUAAAUAUUUUUUAAUUUGAGAAUUGAAUAUUGAAUAUUUUUGGAAUACUUGGAAUUUGUAAUUUGGAGCUUCUCGUGCUUUGCACGAGUGGUAGGGGAGCAUCCCGACAACAGCGAAGGUAAAUUGUAAGAUUUGCUGGAGUUGUCGGGAGUGAGAAUGCUGGCAUAAGUAGUGGAUCUCCCGAUGAAAACUCGGGAUGCCGAAAACCCAAGGUUUCCUCAGCAAUGUCAAUCAUCUGAGGGUAAGUCGGAUCUAAGGGAGUACCUUAUGGUACUACCGAUGUACAAACAGUUAAAAUUCUGUUACUUCAAUAUUUUCGUUAUUACUUAAAUUCUGACGAAAUUUGAUAUCUUGCCCCUCCUAUAUGGGGGGUUAAGCUGCAAAUAAUGCUGUUAAAGGUAUUGCAAGCAGUGAAUACAACUCUGACGUAACGUCGGGGGAGGCUUGAGAUUUAAGUUUCCAAGAAAAGGAUUUUAAGGAGAAAGUGUUGAAUCCGUACCGACAACCGACACAGGUGGGUUGGUGGAGUACACCAAGGCAUACGGGUAAUGAUGAUUCAAGGAACUCGGCAAAAAAGCUGGACGUAACUUAGGAAUAUGUCCUCCCCGACUUAGUCGGGGUACAACAAACGUUUGUCAACCGACUGUUUAGCAAAAACACAGGCUCCUGCUAACCCUAAAAGGGGAUGUAUAGGAGCUGAAACCUGUCCGGUACUGGUAAGUUAAUCACUUCGGGUGACCCCCGCCUCUGGCGGGGAAAGCUUGAGGUGCAAGCUCCAGUGAACGACAGCUCUAACCCUGAGAGUUCUAAGGUAGCGUAGCCCCUUGCCGGGUAAGUUCCGGCCCGCAUGAAAGGUCUAACGAGUUGACAACUGUCUUGAAUCACUGCCCGACGAAAUUGAAAUGGCUGUGAAGAUGCGGCCUACCUACACCUGGACAAAAAGACCCCGGGAGCUUAACUGAAACUAGGUAUUGGCGAAAAGAAACAAACUGUUGAGCGUAGGAGGGACCCCGACUUAGUCGGGGGACAAUGAAACACCUCUCUUUUGUUUUUUUUCACCUCAUCCCGCCUUUGGCGGGAGACAGUACUUGGCGGUCAGUUUAACUGGGGCGGUUUCCUCCAAAAGAGUAACGGAGGAGCGCAAAGGUCAGCUAAUUCCGCAUAGAAAUCGGAAAUAUAGUGCAAACGCAUAAGCUGGCUUAACUGUGAGGCAUACAAGCCGAACAGAUGCGAAAGCAGGCGUUAGUGAUCCCCCGCCAGUCUGUGAUUUGACGGCGGGGCUUAACGGAUAAAAGCUACCCCGGGGAUAACAGGCUAGUCACGUCCGAGAGCUCAUAUCGACGACGUGGUUCGGCACCUUGAACAAAAUCGGGGCGCCAUAAGAGUAAUCUUAAAGUCUGUAAUCUAAUAGAAUUUAGGUCUUUUUGAAAAAUAUCAGCUCAUAACGGUGAACUCCUAGCUGUGAAGUUAGGACAACACCGUGGGAAGUCCUUCGACAAGCUCAGGAUAAAUCCUAGUUUUGUUGAUUGUGACCCCGUAACGACUUCCCGCCUCUGGCGGGAGACUUAGUAAAUUAAUUUACUAGGUAACACGCUGACCCCCGAUUUAAUCGGGGUGAAGGUAUAGUCUAUACUUCAAGUAAUUGAAGUUUUAUUAACGAUGUCGGCUCAUCGCAUCCUGGGGCUGAAGUCGGUCCCAAUGGUCGGGCUGUUCGCCCGUUAAAGCGGUACGCGAGCUGGGUUCAGAACGUCGUGAGACAGUUCGGACUCUAUCCGGUGUAGGCGCAUGGAAUUUUGAGGAGGUUUUUCCACAGUACGAGAGGACCUGGAAGAAGAGAUCCCUGGUGUACCGGUUGUCCCAAAAGGGCAUCGCCGGGUAGCUAUAUCUCUAUUCGAUAAACACUGAAAGCAUAUCAAGUGUGAAGCGAGCUCCAAGAUUAGAAUUCCACAUGAGCUUUCCCGAAGAUUACGGGAUUAUAGGCGUCAGGUGUAAGUCUCGCAAGGGAUUUAGCCAAGACGUACUAAUAGCCA